CCACCCCUGCCCCUCGAGGACAUGACCUUACUCUACCAUCUCCCGCCGCGGCCACUAUCCCCAACCGAUUACGGAAAACAGUGAUGCACCCACGUACUACAGCGAAAUACGCAAAAGGAUGCAAGCUAGGAAUCGACAAAGUAAACCACACACAGGGUGCUUAGAUAGAAAACGUAAAAGGGUAUACCGAGUAAAAAAA
This 199-nucleotide long non-coding RNA is filed under the name Nicotiana benthamiana. RNAcentral describes it as "long non-coding RNA (NBEN_LNC005100)". Lineage: Eukaryota; Viridiplantae; Streptophyta; Magnoliopsida; Solanales; Solanaceae. The record is from RNAcentral.